Molecule: ribosomal RNA, 2902 nt
Filed under: Klebsiella pneumoniae
Lineage: Bacteria; Pseudomonadati; Pseudomonadota; Gammaproteobacteria; Enterobacterales; Enterobacteriaceae
Description: 23S ribosomal RNA
Rfam family: Bacterial large subunit ribosomal RNA
Source: RNAcentral
GGUUAAGCGACUAAGCGUACACGGUGGAUGCCCUGGCAGUCAGAGGCGAUGAAGGACGUGCUAAUCUGCGAAAAGCGUCGGUAAGGUGAUAUGAACCGUUAUAGCCGGCGAUGUCCGAAUGGGGAAACCCAGUGCAAUUCGUUGCACUAUCGUUAACUGAAUACAUAGGUUAACGAGGCGAACCGGGGGAACUGAAACAUCUAAGUACCCCGAGGAAAAGAAAUCAACCGAGAUUCCCCCAGUAGCGGCGAGCGAACGGGGAGCAGCCCAGAGUCUGAAUCAGCUUGUGUGUUAGUGGAACGGUCUGGAAAGUCCGACGGUACAGGGUGAUAGUCCCGUACACCAAAAUGCACAGGCUGUGAACUCGAAGAGUAGGGCGGGACACGUGGUAUCCUGUCUGAAUAUGGGGGGACCAUCCUCCAAGGCUAAAUACUCCUGACUGACCGAUAGUGAACCAGUACCGUGAGGGAAAGGCGAAAAGAACCCCGGCGAGGGGAGUGAAAAAGAACCUGAAACCGUGUACGUACAAGCAGUGGGAGCACCUUCGGGUGUGACUGCGUACCUUUUGUAUAAUGGGUCAGCGACUUAUAUUCUGUAGCAAGGUUAACCGUAUAGGGGAGCCGCAGGGAAACCGAGUCUUAACUGGGCGUUAAGUUGCAGGGUAUAGACCCGAAACCCGGUGAUCUAGCCAUGGGCAGGUUGAAGGUUGGGUAACACUAACUGGAGGACCGAACCGACUAAUGUUGAAAAAUUAGCGGAUGACUUGUGGCUGGGGGUGAAAGGCCAAUCAAACCGGGAGAUAGCUGGUUCUCCCCGAAAGCUAUUUAGGUAGCGCCUCGUGAACUCAUCUUCGGGGGUAGAGCACUGUUUCGGCUAGGGGGUCAUCCCGACUUACCAACCCGAUGCAAACUACGAAUACCGAAGAAUGUUAUCACGGGAGACACACGGCGGGUGCUAACGUCCGUCGUGAAGAGGGAAACAACCCAGACCGCCAGCUAAGGUCCCAAAGUCAUGGUUAAGUGGGAAACGAUGUGGGAAGGCACAGACAGCCAGGAUGUUGGCUUAGAAGCAGCCAUCAUUUAAAGAAAGCGUAAUAGCUCACUGGUCGAGUCGGCCUGCGCGGAAGAUGUAACGGGGCUAAACCAUGCACCGAAGCUGCGGCAGCGACACUAUGUGUUGUUGGGUAGGGGAGCGUUCUGUAAGCCUGCGAAGGUGUGCUGUGAGGCAUGCUGGAGGUAUCAGAAGUGCGAAUGCUGACAUAAGUAACGAUAAAGCGGGUGAAAAGCCCGCUCGCCGGAAGACCAAGGGUUCCUGUCCAACGUUAAUCGGGGCAGGGUGAGUCGACCCCUAAGGCGAGGCCGAAAGGCGUAGUCGAUGGGAAACAGGUUAAUAUUCCUGUACUUGGUGUUACUGCGAAGGGGGGACGGAGAAGGCUAUGUUAGCCGGGCGACGGUUGUCCCGGUUUAAGCAUGUAGGCUGGUUGUCCAGGCAAAUCCGGAUAAUCAAGGCUGAGGUGUGAUGACGAGGCACUACGGUGCUGAAGUAACAAAUGCCCUGCUUCCAGGAAAAGCCUCUAAGCAUCAGGUAACAUUAAAUCGUACCCCAAACCGACACAGGUGGUCAGGUAGAGAAUACCAAGGCGCUUGAGAGAACUCGGGUGAAGGAACUAGGCAAAAUGGUGCCGUAACUUCGGGAGAAGGCACGCUGGUGUGUAGGUGAAGUCCCUGCGGAUGGAGCUGAGACCAGUCGAAGAUACCAGCUGGCUGCAACUGUUUAUUAAAAACACAGCACUGUGCAAACACGAAAGUGGACGUAUACGGUGUGACGCCUGCCCGGUGCCGGAAGGUUAAUUGAUGGGGUUAUCCGUAAGGAGAAGCUCUUGAUCGAAGCCCCGGUAAACGGCGGCCGUAACUAUAACGGUCCUAAGGUAGCGAAAUUCCUUGUCGGGUAAGUUCCGACCUGCACGAAUGGCGUAAUGAUGGCCAGGCUGUCUCCACCCGAGACUCAGUGAAAUUGAACUCGCUGUGAAGAUGCAGUGUACCCGCGGCAAGACGGAAAGACCCCGUGAACCUUUACUAUAGCUUGACACUGAACAUUGAGCCUUGAUGUGUAGGAUAGGUGGGAGGCUUUGAAGCGUGGACGCCAGUCUGCGUGGAGCCAACCUUGAAAUACCACCCUUUAAUGUUUGAUGUUCUAACGUUGGCCCCUUACCGGGGUUGCGGACAGUGUCUGGUGGGUAGUUUGACUGGGGCGGUCUCCUCCCAAAGCGUAACGGAGGAGCACGAAGGUUAGCUAAUCCUGGUCGGACAUCAGGAGGUUAGUGCAAUGGCAUAAGCUAGCUUGACUGCGAGCGUGACGGCGCGAGCAGGUGCGAAAGCAGGUCAUAGUGAUCCGGUGGUUCUGAAUGGAAGGGCCAUCGCUCAACGGAUAAAAGGUACUCCGGGGAUAACAGGCUGAUACCGCCCAAGAGUUCAUAUCGACGGCGGUGUUUGGCACCUCGAUGUCGGCUCAUCACAUCCUGGGGCUGAAGUAGGUCCCAAGGGUAUGGCUGUUCGCCAUUUAAAGUGGUACGCGAGCUGGGUUUAGAACGUCGUGAGACAGUUCGGUCCCUAUCUGCCGUGGGCGCUGGAGAAUUGAGGGGGGCUGCUCCUAGUACGAGAGGACCGGAGUGGACGCAUCACUGGUGUUCGGGUUGUCAUGCCAAUGGCACUGCCCGGUAGCUAAAUGCGGAAGAGAUAAGUGCUGAAAGCAUCUAAGCACGAAACUUGCCCCGAGAUGAGUUCUCCCUGAGACUUUAAGUCUCCUGAAGGAACGUUGAAGACGACGACGUUGAUAGGCCGGGUGUGUAAGCGCAGCGAUGCGUUGAGCUAACCGGUACUAAUGAACCGUGAGGCUUAACCUU